AGUGAACGCUGGCGGUAGGCCUAACACAUGCAAGUCGAACGGCAGCACAGUAAGAGCUUGCUCUUACGGGUGGCGAGUGGCGGACGGGUGAGGAAUACAUCGGAAUCUACUUUUUCGUGGGGGAUAACGUAGGGAAACUUACGCUAAUACCUCAUACGACCUACGGGUGAAAGCAGGGGAUCUUCGGACCUUGCGCGAUUGAAUGAGCCGAUGUCGGAUUAGCUAGUUGGCGGGGUAAAGGCCCACCAAGGCGACGAUCCGUAGCUGGUCUGAGAGGAUGAUCAGCCACACUGGAACUGAGACGCGGUCCAGACUCCUACGGGAGGCAGCAGUGGGGAAUAUUGGACAAUGGGCGCAAGCCUGAUCCAGCCAUACCGCGUGGGUGAAGAAGGCCUUCGGGUUGUAAAGCCCUUUUGUUGGGAAAGAAAAGCAGCAGGUUAAUAACCCGCUGUUCUGACGGUACCCAAAGAAUAAGCACCGGCUAACUUCGUG
This 492-nucleotide ribosomal RNA is filed under the name uncultured bacterium. RNAcentral describes it as "partial 16S ribosomal RNA". It matches the Rfam family "Bacterial small subunit ribosomal RNA", at positions 29 to 507 of the family's 1533-position model. The record is from RNAcentral.